This 459-nucleotide ribosomal RNA is filed under the name uncultured bacterium. Its description in RNAcentral is "partial 16S ribosomal RNA". It matches the Rfam family "Bacterial small subunit ribosomal RNA", at positions 28 to 523 of the family's 1533-position model. The record is from RNAcentral.
GAUGAAUGCUGGCGGCGUGCCUAACACAUGCAAGUCGAGCGGUAAGGCCCUUCGGGGUACACGAGCGGCGGACGGCUGAGUAACGCGUGGGAAUUUGCCCCAAAGUGAGGAAUAACUGCCCGAAAGGGUAGCUAAUGCCGCAUAUGGUCUUCGGAUUAAAGGAUUUAUCCGCUUUGGGAGAAGCCCGCGUUGGAUUAGGUAGUUGGUGAGAUAAAAGCUCACCAAGCCAACGAUCCAUAGCUGGUCUGAGAGGAUGACCAGCCAGACUGGAACUGAGACACGGGCCAGACUCCUACGGGAGGCAGCAGUGAGGAAUCUUCCACAAUGGGCGAAAGCCUGAUGGAGCAACGCCGCGUGCAGGAUGAAGGCCUUCGGGUUGUAAACUGCUUUUAUGAGUGAAGAAUAUGACGGUAACUCAUGAAUAAGCACCGGCUAACUACGUGCCAGCAGCCGCUGUAA